AAGAAACAAAAAGAAUAAAAAGAAGGAAAGAAACAGAAUAGCAGGGGACGAAAUAGAGAAGGGAGAAAGGAAGAAAAGAAAAAGGGAAAAAUAAGGUUUUAAAGGUUCCAAGUUAAUUUGCUAACAAGGAAAACGAGGCAUCGGCAUCUAAAGGAAAAGAAAAGAUCGUUGAGGAGUUAGCUCGAGAAAAUAUGGUUAAGUAAAGAUAGAAUGUUGAAUCAGCAUCUCAGGCCGAUCCCAAAUUCAAUGAGGUAAAGUGUGUUAAUUAUGGGUAAUGGUAUGUACCUAGGAUGCCUUGUGUGUGUGUCAUUUUGAAAUUGUAAAUGUAAGGAUGAAAUAAAUAAAUUUAGGUUUGGUUAUGGUAUAAAAUAGGAUUUGACUAAUUUGGUAUGAAUUUGAAUUUUUGUGAGACAAUAUCAGAUUGAUUUUGGAAUUCCCUAUUCUGUAUUGGAAAAAUCAUUAAAAAUUGUAUAAAAAUAA
Molecule: long non-coding RNA, 480 nt
Organism: Gossypium arboreum
Lineage: Eukaryota; Viridiplantae; Streptophyta; Magnoliopsida; Malvales; Malvaceae
Exons: 3
Source: RefSeq, a predicted model, not a curated record